RNAcentral lists this transfer RNA (63 nucleotides) under Binodoxys communis. Its description in RNAcentral is "tRNA-Ala". The record is from RNAcentral. Lineage: Eukaryota; Metazoa; Arthropoda; Insecta; Hymenoptera; Braconidae.
GAAAUAAUAGUUUAAGAAAAAUUUUUAAUUUGCAAUUAAAAGAUAUAAUAUUAUAUUUAUUUU